This 374-nucleotide long non-coding RNA is filed under the name Phoenix dactylifera (date palm). Its description in RNAcentral is "long non-coding RNA (PDAC_LNC006383)". Lineage: Eukaryota; Viridiplantae; Streptophyta; Magnoliopsida; Arecales; Arecaceae. The record is from RNAcentral.
GGGAGAGAGAGAGGGGGAGGGUAUUAUAAAACUGAGUUCAGGUGGUUUAAAUUAAGUGGUGCGAAUCUCAGGAUGAUCAUCCAUCACUUGCUAUCACUGUACACAUGUUGACUUAUUAAUCAUACUCAGUAAACAAAGGAUUAAUUUUUUAAGUUACAAACAAAGGAUUAAUUAAUGAUAAGAUAAAAGGAGCCAAUCAGAUAUGGAUAGACGUCACUGCCACCUGUACUUCCUCCAUUUUAUAUGGGGUAUAGGAUCGUGACCGCCGUCGUACAGGGCCAAUCACCGCUUCAUACAACGCCAGCUGCAGGGGAUUCACGGAACGUGUAAUGAUUCCCAUUACGUGUCAGGCGCUGAACAUCAAGUUCCUGUAC